This 452-nucleotide ribosomal RNA is filed under the name Escherichia coli. RNAcentral's name for it is "bacterial SSU rRNA". It matches the Rfam family "Bacterial small subunit ribosomal RNA", at positions 1 to 449 of the family's 1533-position model. Lineage: Bacteria; Pseudomonadati; Pseudomonadota; Gammaproteobacteria; Enterobacterales; Enterobacteriaceae. RNAcentral also lists the same sequence under 2 other names. The record is from RNAcentral.
AAAUUGAAGAGUUUGAUCAUGGCUCAGAUUGAACGCUGGCGGCAGGCCUAACACAUGCAAGUCGAACGGUAACAGGAAGCAGCUUGCUGUUUCGCUGACGAGUGGCGGACGGGUGAGUAAUGUCUGGGAAACUGCCUGAUGGAGGGGGAUAACUACUGGAAACGGUAGCUAAUACCGCAUAACGUCGCAAGACCAAAGAGGGGGACCUUCGGGCCUCUUGCCAUCGGAUGUGCCCAGAUGGGAUUAGCUAGUAGGUGGGGUAACGGCUCACCUAGGCGACGAUCCCUAGCUGGUCUGAGAGGAUGACCAGCCACACUGGAACUGAGACACGGUCCAGACUCCUACGGGAGGCAGCAGUGGGGAAUAUUGCACAAUGGGCGCAAGCCUGAUGCAGCCAUGCCGCGUGUAUGAAGAAGGCCUUCGGGUUGUAAAGUACUUUCAGCGGGGAGGAA